RNAcentral lists this long non-coding RNA (1692 nucleotides) under Cyanistes caeruleus (blue tit). RNAcentral describes it as "lncRNA (ENSCCEG00000011808.1)". The record is from RNAcentral. Lineage: Eukaryota; Metazoa; Chordata; Aves; Passeriformes; Paridae.
CCCCAAAAAAAAAUUCACGGAGAGGCUGCUCAGGGUGGGGGAGGGGUUUUUUUAUUUAUUGCUCUACUCAGGACCCCUCCCCAAAAUAAAAACUUGAAUCCGGCUCCGUUUCCCUGCGCUUUUCCUUGGGGGUUCCGGGCCUUUUCCGGAACAUUCUGGGGCUUUCUAGGGUUUUUCUGGGGCUUUUCCGGAACAUUCUGGGGCUUUUCCGGAACAUUCCGGGGCUUUUCCGGAACAUUCCGGGGCUUUUCCAGAACAUUCCGGGCCUUUUCUGGAACAUUCCGGGGCUAUUCCGGAACAUUCCGGGGUUUUUCCGGAACAUUCUGGGUUUUUCCAGAACAUUCUGGGUUUUUCCAGAACAUUCCGGGGCUUUUACGGGGUUUUCCGAGAACAUUCUGGGGCUUUUCCAGAACAUUCUGGGCCUUUUCCGGAACAUUCCGGGGCUUUUCUGGGGCUUUUCCAGAACAUUCCGGGGCUUUUCCAGAACAUUCUGGGCCUUUUCCGGAACAUUCCGGGGCUUUUCCGGAACAUUCCGGGGUUUUUCUGGAACAUUCCGGGGUUUUCCAGAACAUUCCGGGGUUUUCCGGAACAUUCUGGGCCUUUUCUGGAACAUUCCGGGGUUUUCCCAGAACAUUCCGGGCCUUUUCCAGAACAUUCCGGGGUUUUCCCAGAACAUUCCGGGCCUUUUCCAGAACAUUCCGGGGUUUUUCCAGAACAUUCCGGGCCUUUUCCAGAACAUUCCGGGGUUUUUCCAGAACAUUCCGGGGUUUUUCCGGAACAUUCCGGGGGUUUUUCCAGAACAUUCCGGGGUUUUUCCGGAACAUUCCGGGGGUUUUGCCGGGGUUUUUCCAGAACAUUCCAGGGUUUUUUCCGGGGGUUUUUCCGGAACAUUCCGGGGUUUUUUCCGGGGUUUUUCCCCCGGUUCUGGAGUUCUCCCGCUGUUUUCCCGUGGAAUUCCGGCGUUUUCAGGUGUUUUGCUGGGGGUUGGGGGAGCUUUUCCUGCCUUUCUGCUUCUUCCCGUUGACGGCUGUUGUUGGCUCGGUGUUCCCGGGGUUUUUCCAGCUGUUCCCGGGGUUUUUCCCGCUGUUCCCGGGGUUUUUCCAGCUGUUCCCGGGGCUGUUCCCGGUGUUUUUCCCGUUGUUCUCGGGAUCUUUCCCGCUGUUCCCGGUGCUCCAAUGGUUUUUCCAGGUGUUCCCGGAGCUUUUCCCGGUGUUCCCGGGGUCUUUCCCGGUGUUCCCAGGGUCUUUCCCGCUGUUCCCGGGGUUUUUCCCGGUGCUCCAAUGGUUUUUCCCGGUGUUCCUGGGGUCUUUCCCGGUGUUCCCGGUGCUCCAAUGGUUUUUCCCGCUGUUCCUGGGGUCUUUCCCAGUGUUCCCGGGGUUUUUCCCGGCAUUCCCAGGGUUUUUCCAGGUGUUCCCGGUGCUCCCAGCAUUUAUCCCGGUGUUCCCGGGGCUUUUCCCGGUGUCUUUCCCGUUGUUCUUCCUGGUGUUCUCAGGGUCUUUCCCGGUGUUUUUCCCGUUGUUUUUCCCGGUAUUCCUGGUGUUCCCGGUGUCAUUCCCGGUGUUCCCGGUGUUUUUCCCGCUGUUCCCGGUGUCAUUCCCGGUGUUUUUCCUGGUGUCAUUCCCGGUGUUUUUCCCGGUAUUCCCGGUGUUUUUCCCGGUAUUUUUCCUGGUGUCAUUCCCGGUGUUUUUCCCG